This 560-nucleotide unclassified non-coding RNA is filed under the name Hevea brasiliensis (rubber tree). Lineage: Eukaryota; Viridiplantae; Streptophyta; Magnoliopsida; Malpighiales; Euphorbiaceae. The record is from RNAcentral.
AGAAUAAAAGGUCUCUAUUCUAAGACAAUCUUAUCAUUUGAACAUGUGCUGACCUGGCCCUGCAGAGUCAGUGGGUGGAGUAUUAUCAUUGUCAAUAAUUGGCACCACCUGCUCAAAAAACAACAAUUACAAGGACCAAUAUCAAUAAGCCAACCUCACCCUUCCAAUACGAUCACAUUGUCUUAGAAUAGAGACCUUUUAUUCUCAUUUAGAAUGGAGAUGUGAGAGAAAGCUCUGUGCUGUGCUUACUGCUGACUGCUUACAACUUGUACCACCAUGCAAAACCCCAAAAUGACAGGACAAAAACCCUACCAGUAAUGUUCAAAUGGAGGCUGAGGAGGCUCCAUUGCAAUAAUUAAAGCCAUACCAAACACCACUAGGAAUAAAAGUGUUGUAGGUAAAUGUAAUUGACCUAGUGUUAUACCCAUACACAGUCACACUAUUUGGUUUCCAGCCAUCAUAGCCACUCCUGUAGAGGUACAAAUAGCAAAUCUGGUAUGCGCAAGGCCCCUUUAUCUGAAACGUAUCUGUAGAGCAACUCUCAAAUGUUGCUGAAUAUG